CAAGGAUGCCCAUUAUCACUGUGUUGCUGAGGCCAGCACAGGAAAUGACAUAUCUGAGGUGAAGCUUCACCUUGCUGUUGGAGAUGAAGAGACUAAUCCAUCCAGAGAUUUGAACCAGUGGAGGGGUGCGCUCACAAAUCAUGAGCAACUGCUUAAAAGAUGGGAACAGGCAUGGGAACGCUGUGAUGGCCAAGGACCUCUCUGAGGAUGUCAUGACCUUCAAGUAUCAGAUAAUCAGAUCAGAUAAGAAUCAG
This is a long non-coding RNA of Lampris incognitus (smalleye Pacific opah), 254 nucleotides long. RefSeq lists it as uncharacterized. The record is from RefSeq and is a predicted model, not a curated record. Lineage: Eukaryota; Metazoa; Chordata; Actinopteri; Lampriformes; Lampridae. The transcript is spliced from 3 exons.